RNAcentral lists this long non-coding RNA (427 nucleotides) under Ananas comosus (pineapple). Its description in RNAcentral is "long non-coding RNA (ACOM_LNC004556)". The record is from RNAcentral. Lineage: Eukaryota; Viridiplantae; Streptophyta; Magnoliopsida; Poales; Bromeliaceae.
AAAGUUCAACUAUAAUUAGGGGUUUCCGUGAGUGCAUUUUAUUCUUUACUUUUCAAAAGGGUUAAUUUUAUAUAGUUUUCUACAAAUGUAAUAAAUUGCAAAUAUAUUAUUACAAAGUUCAACUUUUAUAUUUUAUUCUUACAAAAGUCCUGAUAUUUUUAAAUAUAUCCCUACCGUUAGAAAAAUUUAGUCAACAUAGAUUAAAUAUUUAAUCCUGAUUAGUUGAUGAUAUGAAUUGACUUUUUUACCCCUCUUUAAUUAACAAUUGGGAUGUUUGAAGGGAUAUAUUUGUGAUGGUAAAAAGAUUAAUUUACUUAUAAAAUAGACGAUAAUUUAACGGUAACAAAUAAGAAAAAUAUAUUUAAAAAUAUUACAUUAACAUUAUAUUAUAUAAAAAUUAAAUUUUAUUAAAAAUAUAUUUGUAAUU